UGCGUACUUUGCAGUUUCCUUUUCAAAAUCUAAUCGUGUACUGUACUGACUUUCUCCUCAGGUUAAGCUGGCCAGAAGUAACAUCAUACUGAACCUAAGGAGAAAUAACUUAAAAUGCCAGAACAGGUGACAGCUGACGUACGUGAAUGCCAAUGUAGAGGAAGUGACCGACACCUUGAGCAAGAUGUAACACCCAGCAUGUUACUUAAGCCUUCUUAGGUGUACAAGAUAGAUGGACCAGACACCACAAGGUGACCACAACUGUCUAGCAUCCCACACCUUGAGGACUACCACCUUACUAAGAAAGAACAGAAUUGGUGUUCUGUACACUACUGUAAGAAUAGUGUACUGUAA
Molecule: long non-coding RNA, 354 nt
Organism: Homarus americanus (American lobster)
Lineage: Eukaryota; Metazoa; Arthropoda; Malacostraca; Decapoda; Nephropidae
Exons: 3
Source: RefSeq, a predicted model, not a curated record